This 71-nucleotide transfer RNA is filed under the name Polyangium fumosum. RNAcentral's name for it is "tRNA-Gly". It matches the Rfam family "tRNA". Rfam says of the family: Transfer RNA (tRNA) molecules are approximately 80 nucleotides in length. Their secondary structure includes four short double-helical elements and three loops (D, anti-codon, and T loops). Lineage: Bacteria; Pseudomonadati; Myxococcota; Polyangiales; Polyangiaceae. The record is from RNAcentral. RNAcentral also lists the same sequence under 3 other names.
GCGGUGGUGGUUCAACGGCAGAAUCCGAGUGUGCCAUACUCGGGAUGGGAGUUCGACUCUCCCUCACCGCG